CUUGCAAUAAAUAAAGCUAUUCCUCAAAACCUAUCGGCGUAACACAUUGGAGGUUUUACAUGGGGACGAGAAAAUCUUGAGCCAAACUAAUAUUUUAAAUGUUUUUGCUUUAUUGGAUAUAAAGACCAUAAGAAAAACAAAAUUACAAAAAAGAAGGUCCGAUCGACAUCACACAAAGCAGGCUACACAGAAAAGGUUUGUCAGGUUCUCUCAAGCCUCAUUGUGGAGGUGGGAGGGAAAAUACAGAAUUGGCAUGAGAGAGACACCACUACAGGGAACCAGGAACCACCUCUACCCGGACUGCGCGUUUGUUGUCCAGCUCUGCUGAGAUCUGACCUGUCCUUUCCAUCAACACACAGUCUUUCCUGCAAGACUCCUCUUUGCUGCAGGAAAGUAUGACUGAGAACACAUUCUUUUCUUCAACAAACAACCAGGUGGCAAUAAGGGUUACUGCUUU
Molecule: long non-coding RNA, 457 nt
Organism: Esox lucius (northern pike)
Lineage: Eukaryota; Metazoa; Chordata; Actinopteri; Esociformes; Esocidae
Source: Ensembl